AGGGGUUGAGGACGGUGAUGUACCUCAGUUGUUGGGGGCCAAAUUAAGAGUACUGGUAGCUCGGGCUUAGGGGUACGGUGCUUGUGUUCGUUGCAGCAAGAGUAAGCUAGCACGCAUACAUGACCGGAACCUGGCUAGUUGUCCCCUCAUCGAUUGUAAAGAUACCACGACUAUGGUGAUGAAAAUUUUGGCUACAAGUUUGUAUCAUACCCUUUGUUCAUGUUCUUGUUUGGAAGGCGAAAGGCCAAUGUUUGCCUUGAGAGGAAGAAGGUUCAGAGUUGCUCGGGGAGAGAAUGAACGACGACUUUAACACGACUUCCUUUCAAGCAAUUAAGUACAUCAAUGAUAUCGUAAUGAUUACUUUUCCCAUAAAGAACUGUGCUCCAGAUAUCUGUGCUGAGAUAUUUGAUAAGGCAUGAUGUCAAAAAAGAGAUAUUUGGUAGGAACAUAUAUUAUAGAACUCUUAUCAAUAUAUUUGAGGACACUACUAAAUGAAACACAUAACACAACUAUACAUCUAAAUGGCGUAAAAAAUAAUCUAUAUAUAAAUGUUAUUUUUAUUUUCUUGCAUAUAGAUGAAAUUUAAAUUAACGAAAUAUCAUGAGUAAAUUUUAAAAAUAACAUAAGGUUACAUAAUACUAAUUUAGUUUACAGUUGUAAUAAUUUUUGUGGGAAUAUUUUCAAAUGUAAAAUAAUCUAUUUUAAGUUAGUAUUAAUGGUUUAAUUUUUAAAAUUGUUUUUUGUAAAAACUAUAUCAAUCAAAUAAAUAAUCUAUUUAUAAUGAAUAUUAUAUAUAUAAUUUAAAAGUAUUUAAUAUAAAUGGACGACGGCAAUACUGACACCAAAGUACUUCUGUUUUUAUUAUUAAGAUACUUCAAACUUCCAACUUCUAUCUAAUAUUAGGUUUUAUUAAAUAGUUUCACUUGACUUACUUUUAUUGUAUAAUAAUAAUAUAGUUUCAGAGUGUUCUGGGAAUAAUAUGUAAGUGCUAGGGUUAUUUGUAAAAUUUUAGUAACAAUUUUAAUAAAAAUGUAUAAAGAAUAUAAAAAUACUAAAUUAUUAUACUUAAUUUCAGUGAUUAAAAUUACUCACGGACCCUAAUAUAAUCUUGAAAUUCAAAGAAUCGUUAACCUAACCCUAAUCAAAUUGAGUUAAUAAACCGAAAGAUAGAGGGGGGAGAGACAGAUAGGGUGGGAGGGAGAAUGAGAGACAGAGAAGGGGGAGGGAGGGAGAAGGAGAGACAGGGGAGGGGGGGAGGGAGAGGGAGAGAGUGAAGUAGAGAGGGAGAGAGAGACGAACUUAUUUAGGAGGUGCUCGGGGGUGUGUGUGCGGCGGCGACAUCAAGCGGAGUCCGGUCGGGCGGCGUUGGGUGGGGGCGGCACAGGCGGUGUGGAAGAUCUAGCGGGGGAAUGGGUCGGCGUGGGGGAUCGAGGUAAGGGUGAGACAGUUGAAACGGAUAAGAUUGUUCUUUGGUGGGUCGGUUACAACAAACUACUGUUAGCGUCGGACAUUACCUAUGACAUUAGACAAAAUUGCAACUUCAGCAUUAAGUCAACAGCUAUGACAUGCGAAAAUGGGCUACAUGCCAGCGCUAUUUGAAAAAUAUAGUAUUGAUGUCGCUACAAAAUGACGUGUCACCAACAUAAGUUGUGGCUAACCAUUUAUCCACUAAUGCAACUAUAAUAAUGAUUACUUAAAAUAUAAAUUAUAAGCAUAUUUUGUUUUAGUUACCUUAAGUAAUGACAUUGUUGUUUUUUAUCCAUAUGCAUUUUAUUCGUUUGCUAACAAAAUGUUUUUUUGGACUGGCUGAAGAGAGCACAAUAACCAAUUUAAUUUCUCACAAGUUCGUUUAAUUAGCAGGUUUCUAUGCUAAAAAAUUAAAAUACCAUUUUUCCAUUGAAGGAUUUUAAAAAAAAAACAACUUUGACAUCUAAAGUUUAACUGGAUUUUGAAAAGAUAUAUAUGUUAUAUAAAAUUUAAAAUUCAACAUAGUAUGUCAGAAUUGUUCUGAAUCAUAAAUAUAUUUAUUGUAUCUCAUAAAAAAUUACGCAGUUAUUAAAAUAGUUCACGUAGAACACUUAUGUUAUUUGCUUAUAUAUUUCAACGGAAUUCUUCUUCUAGUUCAUGAAACAUGUCAAUGUUGCUCACAAGACUUGUUAUGAUGUUUAUUGAGAAAAUACGUGUGUUGAUUGACCCAAAAAUUGUUCAUGGAUCUUAAAAUUUUGUUUGUUACUGCACAAGAAAAAUCUUUUACCUCAUAAAUCUAAUAACACAAUGAACACAUUUUAUGUUACAUAUAUUUAACAAAUAAUGAAUGUUCAUAGGGAUAUAUUUAAAGAAAAAACAAUGGGUGUUUGUACUAAGCAAUUGUUUUGUUGUACAAAAGAAUUGCAUACUACAAAGUGAAAACGUCGUUUCCUCUUUCCAUAGGUAUGGUGAAAAAUAAGGAAAAUAUAUAUGAAAUGAAAAAAGGUAAGACAGACUAAAAAGAAGUGAUAAAUCAUGGGGAAAGAAGAAUGGCAAAGAAUAGAAAACCCAAUAAAACGGAAAUAUCAACGUCAAGACAUGUAGAUGAUAUACCAUGUAACAUGUCGAGGAUGCACCGAUACCUCUUUUCUUCAAUCACUCCCUGGGCCUCGUGGACAUCCACUACUCAUCGCAACUAUCUUGUACCCCACCUUCUACCCAUGGUUGGCAACUAGCUAGUUACAAGGACAUCGAUCCCUUCAGUGCCAAUGAGCUAUGUGUUAGUUUGUUCUUUUGUCGAUUCAGCCUAGUUUAUCUUUAUGCUAACCUAAGUGAUGAGGUCAUGUUGUUCCGAGAGUAUAUAGGUUCCAGCAAUUGCUACUGCAGAAUUUCAAAGAAGGGCAAUGAAAAAAGAGUGGCAUGUGAUAUUUCAAAUAACAGCAAUCGACAAAGAAUGGUGGCAUCAAAUCUUGCUCAAAAUGAGCACCAAAUACCCCAUAAAUUACAACACAAAAUGUACAUUUACAUAUUUUAGUACUAGAUAGUUGAAGCAUAUCUCUCGCUUGCUAUAACUCUUCUUUGCAACGCACCAAGAUAUACAUAAUACAUGUAUAAUUCUUCUUUGAAAAUUUCAAAACAUAGACUUGUUUCUCAGAUGGGAGUAGGGAUGGCAAUGGGUACCCAUUACCCAUGUAUCCUGCGGGUAAAAACCCUAUUAGGGUAAGGGUAUGGGACAAAAAAUUACCCAUGGGGUAUGUAAAUAGGAAAAUCUGAAACCCAUCGGGUAGAGCGGGUACGGGUAUGGAUCAUAUAGCCCAUACCCACAUACCCAUGUACCCAUAUGAAAUCUUUGUAAAAUCAAUAUUAUAUCUACAAUCUACACUAUGUCAAGACUUUGUGAAAUGAAAAUGUAUGACUAUGUGUUGUUGUUUAUGACUAUAUGAUGUUGUUUAUAAGUAUAUGUUGUUGUUACAAUCCAUUUGUGUAAACUAUGAUUAUAUGUUUUUGUUUAUGAUUAUAUAUUGUUCAACUUGUUGAUUUGCAAACAUGGGUAAUUUUAACCGCGGUUAUCCGUCUACCCUAUCGGGUAAAGGGUACGGAAAAAAAUUGUAUUCGUUGACGGAUAUGGGUAAGGGUGAUGGGUAAGCUCAGGGGGGACGGGUAAUGGUAUCGGGUGGCUCCACCCAUACCCAUACCCCGUGGGUGCCAUCCGUAGAUGGGAGAGCCUUGCACUCGUGUGCACUUCAGUUAAGAACAACCUUAAGAAACAAUGUGAAUGGAACAAAAUACACUACAAGUGACCAAUAUAUGCAAUAACCAACUAAGCUAUUCUUGCAUCAUACUUAACAUCUGAUGCAUUAGUUACACAACGUAUAAGAGAAAAAGCAAGAAUAUAAAGAAAAAUGACAAUACAAAUUAAUUUUGACACGUUUAAUGGAUAUUAACUUGAAUACGCAUGAAUUACGACGGCCUGCCAUGGUUACGGUUGUAUAGUGAUUAUGGGCUACAUCCAUCGACCGAGUUCUCUUGGUGCAGAGCUUUAGCAAGAUGACUCCAUGUUGUACCUCCAUCCCAAAUUUGGUGACCACCGCGCACCGUACCUCGCAGAAGAACCUUGAUCUUGAUAUCUUCAACCCAUUUUCAUAAUCUACUUCUCCCGACGCACGACUCGACCUUGGAGAACUUCUUCUUGGGAAGAGAGAGUGGUAGAAAGAGAAGAUGGUGGAAUGAGUUAAAAACAACAUGAGAGGUCAGUCUGCUUGUGCGACAAGUAAGCAGUGUGGUAACAUUGUACGUGCGUUCAAGGUGUCGAUUAUCAUGUCAAAACAAUUCAAAUGGUUGAUUUGGGUGUGGUGUGAAAAAAUAGGACAUUACUUGUGGUUCAUGGGAAGAAUUUCAAAACAUGUGGGCUAUGGUUGUGUAUGAUAUUAGCCACAAUUAAAUUAAUAGUAUUUUAUUUCUUAUUUUUAUAUGUGAAAAAUAGCUACUUUUUUCUUAUAAUACUAACGUUUUGCAAGGUCACCUUGAGUAGAACAUACACCACACUCACCUUCUUUUUACGGUAACUGUCAUUUCUAAGUCACCCGAGAAACAAUUAUCACUAAUUCGACCAAACCAUAUGUUACUUAUGAGACAUACAACUACUUGCUUUACAUAGAAUAAAAAUUACUGGCACUUUUGUACUGUGAAUGAAAAAAAAAUGCACUUAUAAAUAAGAUUUUCCAAGUCUGCUUUUAAACAGACACUCAUAGUUUUUGCAGUUUCUAAGAACUUUAGGAUGCCUAGAAAUCGACAUGAGAGCAAGGUACAGAUUUAGCCAUCUACAUAAUGCACCAAAAAAGAAAAGAAAAAUCAAACAGCCGAACUAUGUUUGAAAAAUCAUUAAAAUUUGCACGUACUCAAAGAACGAAAAUUUUAGAGAAGUUGUUGAUCUUAUUUCCUUGAUCUGACAAAAAUUAUAGAGAGAAGAGAUGGACUUGCACGCUGAAAAAGAAAAUCUCUACUAUUCAAGGACUCUGUAUCUGCCAGUGGACAAAACCAGCCGCUCUCCCGCAGAAAAAAUAAGAUGGGGCGAGGUGGGCAGCCACCUGCACCGGCUGGGCGUCAGACAGCGAGAGGUGCGGGCCAAGCAAGCAAAAAUGGAUCCGAAAGCACCUGUGGUAUCCUGGAAAACCAGCGCCCACAGCCGCCUGUUUUGCUCCGGCUCUCCCGUAUAUAACUGCAUCCCACUUCCAAUCUUCCCACCGUCAACACAAACCAGCAUUAGUUCAGUGAGACACUUCAAGAAAAUCAGCUCUGUUCAACUUCGCAAGUCCACUACUACUUACUACACACAAGGAGCACGAGUCGGUUUCCACUCUCCAGCACGCAGCAAGAAUAAGAAGUACUAUAGGAGAAGCGAUGGCUGGUCCGGCGAAGGCAUCGUGGAUGGUGGCGAUGAGCGUGGGCGCGGUGGAGGCGCUCAAGGACCAGGCCGGGCUCUGCCGCUGGAACUACGCCCUCAGGUCCAUUCACCGGGCAGCCAAGGCGAACGUCCGCGGCGGCGUCGUGCAUGGCCCGAAGCAGCUUCCAGCCUCCCCGGCUGAGAGGCGGCGAGCGGAGACGGACGAGGAGGGGCUGAGGACGGUCAUGUACCUUAGCUGCUGGGGACCUAAUUAGGAGUACUAGUAGUACCUAAUAGGGAUGUUGUGUUCGUUGCAGCAAGUAACUUAGCAUUAGUAAAGCAUGCAACCAUGGCGUUAGACUUGGUUGGUUGCCCCUGAUCGGUUGUAAAGACACCACGACAACGAUGAUGAUGAAAACUUCGGCUAUCAGUUUAUAAUUUAUAUUACCCUGCUUGUCCAGCCAUUUGCUUCAGUGGCUUUUUUGAAAGGUCAAAGUCCGAUCCGUAUCAAGAGAGGGAGAAAGUUCAGAAUUACACAGGGAGAUCAACUCAGCAAAGCGAGCCGUUCUGCUGAAAACAGAGCAGCUUCAGCUGCCUGUACAAAACAGCCAAACUCUGAACCAAGGAAACAACAGUGAAAAACAGAAAAGGAGUUCGAUCUCAGGUCUUGUCUGAUCAAUUUGAACACCUCAAGGUCCCUGCAAUGGAGCCCGUUAGAGAUUGUGACGUUGUGUUCCUUCCAACAAUUUUUCUUCUGAUUAUUUUGAGGUUGUAUGCUCUGCAUCGGUUUCUGUUGCUCCGAGUUGACUGCCGAUCCAUGUCAUACUGAAGGCGUAAGUGAGACGGCGAGGGUGAACCCAGGAGGUCAUCAAGCCUUAACCCAACGAUCUCUGAUUUCUUACAUGGUAUCGGAGCCUUCUCUUCUACAUCGCAUCUAGAUGUCUCUCGUCCCCUUCAACAGUUCCUCGGGAGCUUCUUCCUCGAUCAGCCAGCCCAUGGCGACGCUCGGUGACACCUCCCGCGAAAAGCUCAGCCGUGACAACUUUCUUCUGUGGAAGACGACGGUCCUACCCCCAAUCCGAGGGGCACAGCUCGAUGGAUAUCUCGAUGGCUCAAUUGAAGCUCCGGCCAAGACACUUGAUGUACAGAAGGCCGACAAAUCCGGCACCGAGACGGUGCCAAACCCCGAGUACGCUCGCUGGAUAGCCCAAGACCAACAAGUUCUUGGAUCGCUGCUGCUGACCUCUCUCUCGUGCGAAGUUCUAACUCAAGUCGUCUCCAUGAAGACGUCUGCGCAGGUCUGGAGUCUGGACACCUCUUGAGGAGAUGUAUUCCUCCAUCUCUCGGUCACGAGUUAUUCAACUUCGGACCAGUUCGCCGGCACUCGGAAGAACGAUAUGACCGCCACCGCAUACUUCACGAAGAUGCGAGGUAUUGCGGACGAACUCACAGCAGCAGGGAAGAAGAUAGAAGACGACGAUCUCAUCUCUCAAAUCCUUGCUGGAUUGGAUGCAGAAUAUAAUCCCUUUAUCUCAUCCAUUGGUGCCAGAACCGAUGCCUACUCCUUGAGCGAAAUUUAUGCUGAGUUUGUUACCUUUGAAGCGCGCCUGGAGUCACAAAAUUCUGGGUCACAGCAGUAUAACUCGUCAGUGAAUCUUGCUGCACGAGGAGGACAUGGCAAAGGAAAUCGUGGAGGAAGAAGCAGUGGUGGAGGGAACCGUGGUGGCUUCGGCAACAACAAUCGCGGAGGGUACAACAAAUAUGGGAACAACUACAACCACGAGAAUAACAAUUACCACAAUAAUAAUCGCGGCGGAGGACGCUCAGGUCCAGGAGGUGGAGCGAAUCUUUCCCGCAGUGACAAGCCUACUUGUCAGAUUUGUGGUAAGGUUGGGCAUCCAGCUCACAAGUGGUGGUAUCGGUUUGACCCCAAUUAUGUCACGGAAGAGAGAUAUGGUGGAGCAGCCACUACUUCAUCUGGAGUUGACUCCAAUUAGUACUUUGAUACUGGAGCAAUUAAUCAUAUUAAGAGCAUCUCUAGUAGAGCCCUCAAACCGUUUUUUUACAGUUUUCGUCGAAAAAACGGCGUAGACUAGAACCCUUAAACCCGUAAAAAAAAUUAGAGGUCCAACCCAGUUGAACACAAACGAGCAUCAGUUCAGUGAGACACUUCAAGAAAAUCAGCUCUGUUCAACUUCGCAAGUCCACUACUACUUACUACACACAAGGAGCACGAGUCGGUUUCCACUCUCCAGCAGCGCAGCAAGAAUAAGAAGUAUAGGAGAAGCAAUGGCUGGUCCGGCGAAGGCGUCCUGGAUGGUGGCGAUGAGCUCCGGCGCAGUGGUGGCGCUCAAGGACCAGGCCGGGCUCUGCCGUUGGAACUACGCCCUGAGGUCCAUCCACCGGGAAGCCAAGGACAACGUCCGCAGCAGCGUCUUGCAUGGCACCAAGCAGCUUCCGGCCUCCCCGGCUGGGAGGCGGCGAGCGGAGAUGGCCGAGGAGGGGCUGAGGAUGGUCAUGUACCUUAGCUGCUGGGGACCUAAUUAGGAGUACUAGUAGUAUCUAAUAGGGCUGAUGUGUUCGUUGCAGCAAGUAACUUAGUAUUAGUAAAGCUUGCAGCAAUGGCGUUAGACUUGAUCGGUUGUAAAGACACCACGACAACAAUGAUGAUGAAAACUUCGGCUAUCAGUUUAUAAUUUAUAUUACCCUACUUGUCCAGCCAUUUGCUUCAGUGGCUUUUUUCGAAAGGUCAAAUGGCGAUCUGUAUCAAGAGAGGGA
RNAcentral lists this long non-coding RNA (8128 nucleotides) under Hordeum vulgare. RNAcentral describes it as "long non-coding RNA (HVUL_LNC005881)". The stretch from base 6814 to 6942 matches the Rfam family "Small nucleolar RNA Z247". Lineage: Eukaryota; Viridiplantae; Streptophyta; Magnoliopsida; Poales; Poaceae. The record is from RNAcentral.